GUAACAAGGUCUCCGUAGGUGAACCUGCGGAGGGAUCAUU
Molecule: ribosomal RNA, 40 nt
Filed under: Cladosporium cladosporioides
Lineage: Eukaryota; Fungi; Ascomycota; Dothideomycetes; Cladosporiales; Cladosporiaceae
Also listed under: 21 other names
Description: partial 18S ribosomal RNA
Source: RNAcentral